GAUGAACGCUGGCGGCGUGCCUAAUACAUGCAAGUCGAGCGAACAGACGAGGAGCUUGCUCCUCUGACGUUAGCGGCGGACGGGUGAGUAACACGUGGAUAACCUACCUAUAAGACUGGGAUAACUUCGGGAAACCGGAGCUAAUACCGUAUAAUAUAUUGAACCGCAUGGUUCAAUAGUGAAAGACGGUUUUGCUGUCACUUAUAGAUGGAUCCGCGCCGCAUUAGCUAGUUGGUAAGGUAACGGCUUACCAAGGCAACGAUGCGUAGCCGACCUGAGAGGGUGAUAGGCCACACGGGAACUGAGACAGGGUCCAGACUACUACGGGAGGCAGCAGUAGGGAAUCUUCCGCAAAGGGCGAAAGCCUGACGGAGCAACGCCGAGUGAGUGAUGAAGGUCUUCGGAUCGUAAAACUCUGUUAUUAGGGAAGAACAAAUGUGUAAGUAACUAUGCACGUCUUGACGGUACCUAAUCAGAAAGCAACGGCUAACUACGUG
Molecule: ribosomal RNA, 497 nt
Filed under: uncultured bacterium
Lineage: Bacteria
Description: partial 16S ribosomal RNA
Rfam family: Bacterial small subunit ribosomal RNA
Source: RNAcentral